AAUUUUCAACAACGGAUCUCUUGGCUCUCGCAUCGAUGAAAAACGCAGCGAAGUGCGAUAAAUAAUGUGAAUUGCAAAAUUCAGUGAAUCAUCAAAUCUUUGAACGCACCUUGCGCUCCUUGGUAUUCCUUGGAGCAUGCCUGUUUGAGUAUCAU
This 155-nucleotide ribosomal RNA is filed under the name Thanatephorus cucumeris. RNAcentral's name for it is "5.8S ribosomal RNA". It matches the Rfam family "5.8S ribosomal RNA". Rfam says of the family: 5.8S ribosomal RNA (5.8S rRNA) is a component of the large subunit of the eukaryotic ribosome. The record is from RNAcentral. Lineage: Eukaryota; Fungi; Basidiomycota; Agaricomycetes; Cantharellales; Ceratobasidiaceae.